AAUGGGCGCAAGCCUGAUCCAGCCAUACCGCGUGUGUGAAGAAGGCCUUCGGGUUGUAAAGCACUUUAAGCAGGGAGAAAAAGUUAUAAGUUAAUACCCUAUAACCGUGAUGUUACCUGCAGAAUAAGCACCGGCUAAUUCCGUGCCAGCAGCCGCGGUAAUACGGAAGGUGCAAGCGUUAAUCGGAAUUACUGGGCGUAAAGCGCGCGUAGGUGGUUUGUUAAGUUGGACGUGAAAGCCCUGGGCUCAACCUAGGAACUGCAUCCAAAACUAACUCACUAGAGUACGAUAGAGGGAGGUAGAAUUCAUAGUGUAGCGGUGGAAUGCGUAGAUAUUAUGAAGAAUACCUGUGGCGAAGGCGGCCUCCUGGAUCUGUACUGACACUGAGGUGCGAAAGCGUGGGUAGCGAACAGGAUU
RNAcentral lists this ribosomal RNA (417 nucleotides) under uncultured Gammaproteobacteria bacterium. Its description in RNAcentral is "bacterial SSU rRNA". It matches the Rfam family "Bacterial small subunit ribosomal RNA", at positions 370 to 779 of the family's 1533-position model. Lineage: Bacteria; Pseudomonadati; Pseudomonadota; Gammaproteobacteria. The record is from RNAcentral.